GGUAACGGCCCACCAAGCCUUCGAUGGAUAGGGGUUCUGAGAGGAAGGUCCCCCACAUUGGAACUGAGACACGGUCCAAACUCCUACGGGAGGCAGCAGUGAGGAAUAUUGGUCAAUGGGCGCUAGCCUGAACCAGCCAAGUAGCGUGAAGGAUGAAGGCUCUAUGGGUCGUAAACUUCUUUUAUAUAAGAAUAAAGUGCAGUAUGUAUACUGUUUUGUAUGUAUUAUAUGAAUAAGGAUCGGCUAACUCCGUGCCAGCAGCCGCGGUAAUACGGAGGAUCCGAGCGUUAUCCGGAUUUAUUGGGUUUAAAGGGAGCGUAGGUGGACUGGUAAGUCAGUUGUGAAAGUUUGCGGCUCAACCGUAAAAUUGCAGUUGAUACUGUCAGUCUUGAGUACAGUAGAGGUGGGCGGAAUUCGUGGUGUAGCGGUGAAAUGCUUAGAUAUCACGAAGAACUCCGAUUGCGAAGGCAGCUCACUGGACUGCAACUGACACUGAUGCUCGAAAGUGUGGGUAUCAAACAGGAUUAGAUACCCUGGUAGUCCACACAGUAAACGAUGAAUACUCGCUGUUUGCGAUAUACAGUAAGCGGCCAAGCGAAAGCAUUAAGUAUUCCACCUGGGGAGUACGCCGGCAACGGUGAAACUCAAAGGAAUUGACGGGGGCCCGCACAAGCGGAGGAACAUGUGGUUUAAUUCGAUGAUACGCGAGGAACCUUACCCGGGCUUAAAUUGCAGUGGAAUGAUGUGGAAACAUGUCAGUGAGCAAUCACCGCUGUGAAGGUGCUGCAUGGUUGUCGUCAGCUCGUGCCGUGAGGUGUCGGCUUAAGUGCCAUAACGAGCGCAACCCUUAUCUUCAGUUACUAACAGGUCAUGCUGAGGACUCUGGAGAGACUGCCGUCGUAAGAUGUGAGGAAGGUGGGGAUGACGUCAAAUCAGCACGGCCCUUACGUCCGGGGCUACACACGUGUUACAAUGGGGGGUACAGAAGGCAGCUAGCGGGUGACCGUAUGCUAAUCCCAAAAGCCUCUCUCAGUUCGGAUCGAAGUCUGCAACCCGACUUCGUGAAGCUGGAUUCGCUAGUAAUCGCGCAUCAGCCACGGCGCGGUGAAUACGUUCCCGGGCCUUGUACACACCGCCCGUCAAGCCAUGGGAGCCGGGGGUACCUGAAGUACGUAACCGCAAGGAUCGUCCUAGGGUAAAACUGGUGACUGGGGCUAAGUCGUAACAAGGUAGCCGUACCGGAAGGUGCGGCUGGAACACCUCCUUUCU
Molecule: ribosomal RNA, 1269 nt
Filed under: Bacteroides fragilis
Lineage: Bacteria; Pseudomonadati; Bacteroidota; Bacteroidia; Bacteroidales; Bacteroidaceae
Description: bacterial SSU rRNA
Rfam family: Bacterial small subunit ribosomal RNA
Source: RNAcentral